This 462-nucleotide ribosomal RNA is filed under the name uncultured bacterium. RNAcentral describes it as "partial 16S ribosomal RNA". It matches the Rfam family "Bacterial small subunit ribosomal RNA", at positions 28 to 507 of the family's 1533-position model. The record is from RNAcentral.
GACGAACGCUGGCGGCGUGCUUAACACAUGCAAGUCGAGCGGAAAGGCCCUUCGGGGUACUCGAGCGGCGAACGGGUGAGUAACACGUGAGUAACCUGCCCCAGACUUUGGGAUAACCCUCGGAAACGGGGGCUAAUACCGGAUACGACACAGCUUCGCAUGGGGUCUGUGUGGAAAGUUUUUCGGUUUGGGAUGGGCUCGCGGCCUAUCAGCUUGUUGGUGGGGUGAUGGCCUACCAAGGCGACGACGGGUAGCCGGCCUGAGAGGGCGACCGGCCACACUGGGACUGAGACACGGCCCAGACUCCUACGGGAGGCAGCAGUGGGGAAUGUUGCACAAUGGGCGGAAGCCUGAUGCAGCGACGCCGCGUGAGGGAUGACGGCCUUCGGGUUGUAAACCUCUUUCAGCAGGGACGAAGCGUAAGUGACGGUACCUGCAGAAGAAGCGCCGGCCAACUACGUG